This 3148-nucleotide long non-coding RNA is filed under the name Panax ginseng (ginseng). RNAcentral's name for it is "long non-coding RNA (PGIN_LNC018604)". Lineage: Eukaryota; Viridiplantae; Streptophyta; Magnoliopsida; Apiales; Araliaceae. The record is from RNAcentral.
UUCUUUCGUAUAUUCUUCUUGUCCCAUCUUGAAAACAUGUUGCCAAACAAAACAUCAUAUGCCACAUUGGCUUAAUAGAUUUGCUUCAAAAAUUGAAAAAGAACCUUAGUAAAAAAGAAACAUUUGUUUAUGCACGAACCUGAUUGAACCAGCAAUAAUUUUUCUUUCUUUCUUUUGAAUAAUUUUUGAAAUGGGAUAUGUCUAAGGGAGUAAACUUCAACAUAAAAUCUUUAUUUAUUUUUAUCUGAUUUCAACACAGUAAAAUUGUUGGACUAGGUAUAAUGACAUUAGAUAAUUGCAAUUAUCAAAAUUACAACUAAUUUAAUAACAUUAACAACAACACCGCAUACAUAACAUUAACAAUUAUGACAAAUUGCACAGUUAGUUGCAAUUGGGGCAUUUCAAUUUUCAUCAUCGCUAAUUCGCUGGAGUGGUUAGCAUUUGUUGGAUGAGUUGUUACAUUUAAACGCUCGGAUGUGUCCAUUUGCAAUCUCCUUUGAUUAUGCAACGCUCGAACAUAUUCGUCACACCAACUGAUGAAGUUACCACAUUACUGCAUAUUUUGGAACACAAUAAAUUUAUUCAGUUGUGUAAAAAGACCUAAUAUACAAAAAUUACAAUAAAUAAAUACAUACCGCUAUUCUUGGGCAAGAAUAAUAGUGUCUAUCCGGAUUCUUUUCCGACAUUGAAAGUUUGACUAUACAAAACCCGUACCACAACAACAUAUGAAUGGAGGCCAUACAAAUUCGAUGAAAUUUUUUAGAUUCACGUGGAGUACCAUAAAGUAUAUUACAUUUUCUGUUUACAUAAUCGAAACUAUAACAUGACAAGACAUUCCUGCAUACUUAAGCAAUUGAAUCCGAAUCCUGGUCAACAAAAAUUAAAAUAAAAUAGCCACUUCUAAUUUAAUCAAGGAUCAAACUCAUGGUAGCCACUCAAAUAUGACAAACGGUAGACACCUAGUUGCCAGAAAUAUAUGCUUAAUAUGCAACUAUAAUCAACAUACUCAAUUCUCCAUUACAGAUUGACAGAUCAACUACAGCAUCAAUAAUAAAUGCCAAAAUAUUCCCAGCACCUAAAAAUUUAGAUCACACAUGCAGUAAAAAAAUAUCAUAGUUGUUUUAAAUCUACACAACUAGACAUCAUUAUAACUAACAACAUUGAAAUACUUAAUUAUAUUUAAUUUUGUAAUAUACAUAAACAUCAUCUGUCAUCAGUAUAUGGAAUGAGAUGAUCCAAAUUGAUUUCAUCUUAAAUACUCUUUUCAAUAUCACAUUUCAUCUUAUUUUACAAAAAAAAAAAACUAAAAUUCCCUCCAAUUUCGCACAAUAGUUCCAUAUGCAAACAUUAACAACUCAAUUUUAAGCAUUAAAUUGAAAUUGAACACCAAUGUUCACUAAAUUUCAUGCACUGUGCAUAGGAGAAUUCAGGUUUUUGGAGGUUGAAAGCAACCAAACUACAAGAGAGAUCCAUCAAUUCCCCUUGUCAGAAAUUGAGAUAUUAAGUUUUCUUUCUUUAUAACAACGGUGCAAGCCUCUAGACUGCAUUUAGUUUGGAGUUGGACCAAGUAGUGAACUGAGUUGUUGGCCCAAAAAAGGCAUUAACAUUGGAUUUUUGAGAUGCAGGGUACUGAACCUGUAACUUUUGCUAAAGCUCUAUAACAUUAAUCUGCUCAAUUUUAUGCUUCUGCAGUUUAUAACAAUGCUUGAAUUUUGCACUACCAUAUCUUAGAUUUUGUCUUGUCUCUAUUUUGUAACCUCCAUAAUCAACCCAUAGCAUAAAAGUUGAGAAAGACUCUGCUAUUGCAUAAUUAAUGCGUGCUCAAGAUUAUCAUACCAUUCAUUUCACAAAUCAACAUCACCUUAAUAUUUCCUAUUUAUCCUAAAUUAGAAAAAGGGCAUAUCUUUUAAAAAAUCAAAAAAUAAAACGGAACAAAAUCAACCCAAAACUUUCGAUAGAAAAUGCGGUAGGCCUAAUCUCUACAGGGAAGUGAUCUGUCUCAAACCAAUCGAAGAGCUACGUUAGGGGAAAAGGGGCAGAAUGAACCCAAUUCAAAACCACCUAAUAAACCCUAGAUUUUUUACGCAAAAAAUAAAAAUUACAAAAUCAAUAAAGUGAAGUACCCUCACCUUCGUUUGCAGAUGCUUCCGUUGGCCGGAGCUUCCGUUGGCCGGAGCCGCGUCUGUUCCUUUACCUUAUGUUUGCUACAGAUUCGUGGUGAGAGAGAGGGGGAAGAGUUAGAGAGAGAAAUUGAUGGCUGAGGCGUAAUGGGUUUUAUUUUGUUUGACCCAUUUUGCCGACCCACGCAUUUACAAAUGUAACCCGCGUGUUUUUUUUUUGCUGCAGUUCGUUUGUAGUCUGUUCAUUGAGUUCGCUGGAGAAGGUUUUCCGAUAUAUAUAUAUAUAUAUAUAUAUGCUGAUCGACUAGAAGUUGGAAUAGUUAAAAAGGAGGCCGGGCCGGGAGGUAGGAGCAUGCAUCAAAAGAAUACAAGGUGGUUCUCAAUCAUUUAAGUGGAAAAAAGCUAGCUAGCUAGCUUACUCACAUAUAUAUGCCUAUAUAUAACUUCAAAUUAAAGAAAAGACAAUUAAAGAUGGUCUCCUCUCCUCUCCUCCAUAUAUUAAUUUCCUCUUCCAUAUUCCAUUUCAUUCCAUUGAAUAAAACCCCCCACUUUUUCAUAACCUUUCUGGCCAUUGAGAGUCCUCCAUGUCACCCUCACCAACAGGAGGAUCGAUAGAGUAAAUUUGAAGUAAGAAAAGCAAAGGUAAGAAGAAGAAGAAACGAUCGAUCGAGACUCUUCCAUAUUGCAUGGGACUGGACUCUCCUUUUUGGGACAUUAAUUGAGUAAUAUAUAUAUACAUAAGAGACAUACAUGCAUAUAUUAAUCAUUCAUUUCUGUACUCAAAAUGAAUGAAUCUAUUUAAUUAUAUUCUUUGUUAGAUUUAAGAUCACCUAAAGCAAGCAACUUCGGCUUGAAAAAUAAGUGCAUAUAUAUAUGUUACAAAAAUCUAGCUAACUAAAUCAACUAAUUACGUACAUGAAACAGUACUCCCAACUCCUUUUCUUUGUGUAUUGGAAUUGCAUGUUACAUGUUUCCGAGUUCAAUGACAGAUUUUUGGCUCCUUCGUUGAACUGGCCGGCAUUUAUAAU